RNAcentral lists this small nuclear RNA (107 nucleotides) under Balaenoptera musculus (blue whale). Lineage: Eukaryota; Metazoa; Chordata; Mammalia; Artiodactyla; Balaenopteridae. The record is from RNAcentral.
GUGCUCACUUCAGCAGCACAUAUACUAAAAUUGGAACAAUACAGAGAAGAUUAACAUGGCCCCCGUGCAAGGAUGACACGCAAAUUCAUGAAGCGUUCCAUAUUUUU